Microtus oregoni (creeping vole) is the source of this 904-nucleotide long non-coding RNA. RefSeq lists it as uncharacterized. The transcript is spliced from 3 exons. The record is from RefSeq and is a predicted model, not a curated record. Lineage: Eukaryota; Metazoa; Chordata; Mammalia; Rodentia; Cricetidae.
UGCUGAGGGGAAAGGACUCAAGAAAGAGGAAAGUUACCCACAUGGGCCAACUGGAAGAAUCAGGAAUGGACUUUUAAAAAUGUCAUUUCGAACAUUGACAGAGCUUUAUUGACUUAAGAUCAUAGAUUAUUCAGUUUACCAUAUCAAAAUAGGUUUAUUUUAUUUUAUAUGUAUGAGUACUUGCCGGCAUGUAUGUAUCUGAACCGUGUGCUACCUGUUUCCCAGAACACAUCAGAGACCCUGGAACUGGAGUAAAACUUUUGGCCUUCAGAUGGAAGGACACUUCAUGCCAGAAGCAAGGCAUCCAGAUGAAGAAGCAUGAAGCUGGGGUGCGGGGGGCCAGCUCUGCCACUGACUAGUCACAAGACUGAGCAGGGUCACUGUAUCCCUGCUGCCAUCUCCCUAGUGUGUGAAAUGGACCUGGAAAUCACACCCUAUCCAUUUUACUGGGCUGUUGCCUUGCUCAAAUGAUGUCGUUUAAAUGCGAACUCUAAAAAUGAUCAAGUCCUUAAUCUCCCUCACCAGAGCAGGCAUUGUGGUGUCCACAGGCACUCAUGCAUGCACACACACACACACACACACACACACACACACACACACAAGCUUAAGAAUCAGAAAACAUCCCUUCCUCCUUAACUCUGUUUCUGGUAGGUAGAUGACAUUCUUCACAGGAGAGUAGAGCCCUCAUUGGGCACACACUCCUUACAAGAACUUCUCUCAACACGGCACAGAAAGCAGCAUUCAGUUCCACCCAUCAGUUCUGGGGUAGGAAUCUUAUCCAGUAGUAAGGAAAGCCUGAAAUACAAGUUCAAGAAGCUAAAGCUCCUUGAAGAAAAGGUUCCCUUGUUCUGUAGAAUUCGAUAGUAUGUUACUCCAAAUUGCGUGUUUUUGAAAUACACAGUUG